CCUACGGGUGGCUGCAGUGGGGAAUUUUGCGCAAUGCUCGUAACAGUGCCGCCGCGACGCCGCGUGACUGACGCAGGCCUUCGGGUCGUAAAGUUCUUUCGACAGGGGAGCAAAUGCCUAUAAGUAACUGCGUAUUUAUUGACGGUACCUGUAUAAGCAACCCCGGCUAACUCCGUGCCAGCAGCCGCGGUAAUACGGAGGGGGCGAGCGUUAUUCGGAGUGACUGGGCGUAAAGAGCACGUAGGAGGUGAUGUAAGUCAGUCGUCAAAGACUAGAGCUCAACUUUAGUAAGGCUAGAGAUACUAUAAGACUAGAGUAUUAUAGAGGGGUGCAGAAUUCCUGGGGUAGCGGUGAAAUGCGUAGAUAUCAGGAGGAAUACCGUAAGCGAAGGCGGCAAUCUGGCUAGAAACUGACGCUGAGGUGCGAAAGCGUGGGUAGCAAACAGGAUUAGAUACCCGGGUAGUC
This 465-nucleotide ribosomal RNA is filed under the name uncultured bacterium. Its description in RNAcentral is "partial 16S ribosomal RNA". It matches the Rfam family "Bacterial small subunit ribosomal RNA", at positions 338 to 795 of the family's 1533-position model. The record is from RNAcentral.